RNAcentral lists this ribosomal RNA (497 nucleotides) under uncultured bacterium. RNAcentral describes it as "partial 16S ribosomal RNA". It matches the Rfam family "Bacterial small subunit ribosomal RNA", at positions 28 to 507 of the family's 1533-position model. The record is from RNAcentral.
GAUGAACGCUGGCGGCGUGCCUAAUACAUGCAAGUCGAGCGAACGGACGAGAAGCUUGCUUCUCUGAUGUUAGCGGCGGACGGGUGAGUAACACGUGGAUAACCUACCUAUAAGACUGGGAUAACUUCGGGAAACCGGAGCUAAUACCGGAUAAUAUUUUGAACCGCAUGGUUCAAAAGUGAAAGACGGUCUUGCUGUCACUUAUAGAUGGAUCCGCGCUGCAUUAGCUAGUUGGUAAGGUAACGGCUUACCAAGGCAACGAUGCAUAGCCGACCUGAGAGGGUGAUCUGCCACACUGGAACUUGAACACGGUCCAGACUCCUACGGGAGGCAGCAGUAGGGAAUCUUCCGCAAUGGGCGAAAGCCUGACGGAGCAACGCCGCGUGAGUGAUGAAGGUCUUCGGAUCGUAAAACUCUGUUAUUAGGGAAGAACAUAUGUGUAAGUAACUGUGCACAUCUUGACGGUACCUAAUCAGAAAGCCACGGCUAACUACGUG